This 371-nucleotide ribosomal RNA is filed under the name uncultured organism. RNAcentral describes it as "bacterial SSU rRNA". It matches the Rfam family "Bacterial small subunit ribosomal RNA", at positions 526 to 896 of the family's 1533-position model. The record is from RNAcentral.
CAGAGGGUGCGAGCGUUAAUCGGAAUUACUGGGCGUAAAGCGCACGUAGGUGGCGACGUAAGUCGGGUGUGAAAGCCCCGGGCUCAACCUGGGAAUUGCAUUCGAGACUGCGUUGCUGGAGUACGGAAGAGGAAGGCGGAAUUCCCGGUGUAGCGGUGAAAUGCGUAGAUAUCGGGAGGAACAUCAGUGGCGAAGGCGGCCUUCUGGUCCAGUACUGACACUCAAGUGCGAAAGCGUGGGGAGCGAACAGGAUUAGAUACCCUGGUAGUCCACGCCCUAAACGAUGACGACUGGAUGUCGGAGGGGUCUGCCUUUCGGUGUCGUAGCUAACGCGUUAAGUCGUCCGCCUGGGGAGUACGGCCGCAAGGUUG